This is a non-coding RNA of Podarcis lilfordi (Lilford's wall lizard), 73 nucleotides long. Lineage: Eukaryota; Metazoa; Chordata; Lepidosauria; Squamata; Lacertidae. The record is from the annotation of a GenBank genome assembly.
GGAUAGCUCAGUUGGUUAAAGCGUGGUGCUAAUAAUGCCAAGGUUGUGGGUUCAAUCUCUGUAAGGGGCAUCU